This 299-nucleotide long non-coding RNA is filed under the name Zostera marina. RNAcentral describes it as "long non-coding RNA (ZMAR_LNC003614)". The record is from RNAcentral. Lineage: Eukaryota; Viridiplantae; Streptophyta; Magnoliopsida; Alismatales; Zosteraceae.
UGAGUUUUUGGUUGCUGGUGACGUGGCCAAGUCCAAGAUAUUGUAUCACCAGUACUCCCUUUCUCUUACGUACCAGGCUUUUCGAGGGUUGCUUUCGGUUACCGACAAUGUGAUAUGUGUGCCAGAUCCUGGAUUACAAGUUACAAAAUGUUGGUUUUUAUUUCCAAAUAUUUCCAAGUCAUGUGCUUGGCAUGUUGGAAGUAGAUGCUUGAUUUGCAUUGACAGAAUCAGUCUUGGGUUUCUUGGCAGAAUAAUUUUUUUUGAUCAGUAGAUUCCUUGCCUUUCUUGUCUGGAAACCC